This 2946-nucleotide long non-coding RNA is filed under the name Ficedula albicollis (Collared flycatcher). RNAcentral's name for it is "lncRNA (ENSFALG00000022827.2)". The record is from RNAcentral. Lineage: Eukaryota; Metazoa; Chordata; Aves; Passeriformes; Muscicapidae.
AUGGCAAGUGAGGUGCUCUACGCCAAGGUGUCGCCCAAGGAAAGAGGGAAUUUUAUUGCAGAAGAUUCAGAUACAGGUGACCAAGUCACAUAUGCUGAGGUGAAUGUGACAUGGAGAUCGGACACACCUGACAGCACACCCAAAACGACACAUUCAGGUACGGCACCACCACGGGACACUUCAUGUUUUCUCACUAUGUUUCAGCAGCCAAACAUCAUCUUCCUCCACAGCAUGGGAGAGAGUCACUUACUGUCUUUGCUGCAGGUGAUUUCAAUCCUUCUUUCCCUGCUUCCCGCUCCUGAAGGAUGCUCAGGACAUGCUUAAAAUUCAUUUUGCAGUGGAGGCCCUUGAAAACUCUUGUUCAUUUCAGCAACAAUCUCCAUGUAUUGCUUUUUACUUUAAAUGAAUUUUGGGUGAAUGAGCAGGACAACAUUCGUAUUUAAAGCAAGACUGAGUUACUUUUGGAAAGUAAUAGCCAAAACCAAAAAAUUUUGAACAACUUUUUGACAAUUCCAGGAAAAUUGUGUCUGCCUUUUCUUAAAUUAAAAUUUUAAGAUACUUUAAACUGUCUCAAACCAUUUAACCAGCCCUGAAAGAAAAUUUUGUUCCACAAAGUGAAAUGAUAUACUGGACAUGAGUUUUGACUCUUGUGUAUGAGGUGAAAAUGAAGAAGAGAAUAUUGCAUUCAUGUGAUGCAUAAGAGCAAUUAAUAUAUGUAUGAAAAAAUGUUAGCUGUGGGGAAAUGCUAAUGCAAACAAACAUUUCCAUUGGGGUUUCAUUUGGCCUCAAAACAAGAAAAAAGAAACUGAAAGCUUCAGAUGGUUUUUCUGAAUAAAAGUGGCAGUCAGGCAGACAAGGGAGUGGACCCUGUUACAAAGACAAAAUUAAUUUCCUGGCUUCGUUGAAAUGCCCUAUGGUUUUAUCCCAGUGAAUCCAGGCUUGGAAUGCAGCAUGGAAAGUGUUGUUCUGAUAUAGGGCCAGUGACCUGUCUGCUUUUUGGUUCCUUUUACAUCCCAGUCCUCAAUCCCUCCCUUCCUUUCUCUGAUUCUGGCUGCACCAUCCAGGUUUUUAGAAUAUUGUUCAAGGAAUAUCAAAAUCCAUAUAUGCUCUACGUAUGGAGAAAUGCUGCUGGGAGAGCUCUGUCCCUUCACAUUCUUAGCUGGAACUUCUUCAAAACCACAGAAGCCAAAUGUUUGUUCUGAUUCUUGUUUAGAUUGGGAAGCACUUUAUACAGAAAGUAUUAAGGAAUGGGGAUCAAAUGAACACAGUGAUCCUAGUCAGGAUUAAAGUUGGAGGAGAAAAUGAUGGAUUUAAAGCCCAAUUAAACAAGUGUGUUUUGUUGUGCUUAAAAAUUAUGGUAAUCUGGGAAGAGUCUCUAGAAUUUCAAAUAACCUAUAGAAUCUUUUUUUUAAAGCCUGAAUGGGACUUUCUAGUUUUCAUUGUAGGUCUUCAGUAGUGUAACGUCAGACAGUCAACACAGGAUGGCACAACCACUGCAAACCAUUUUCCACGGAGGUGGCAGGGCAUAUUCCAGGGGCAAGCACUGGCAGUGCUGUGUGUGCACGUGGCAAAAUGCUGGCACAGCAGUGCUGGCAAGGCUGUGCUCUGCCUCCAAAGGCAAGAGGUUCUGUCUUUAGGAUUCUUCUCAACAGCUGUGAUGACAAAAUGUAGGUCUGGCCAGGAAAAGGUUUCUUCUGACCCCGAAAGUGUGAUUUUAAUAGUUACACACAGGUUUGUAUACUAUAAAGCUACAUAAGUACGCGGGUGCUGUAUCUAGAGCAGGAAGCACAAUGAUUUCUCCUAUUCCCGUAACUCAGAGCAAAAGCUGCCUGCAGUGACAGCCCUGUCCCUUGUCCCUUUGGCAGCGGCCUGCUGGGAGAGCUCCCCCUGGUGCUUCGCUGUCUUCGCCCUGUGUUUCUGCGCCGCGGUUCUGCUCCUGGCAGUCAUCCUGCUGGCGGUGAGGUGUUACAGCCGCUGACCCUGCUGCGACGGGGUAAGCCCUCCCAGCCCUGCCUUCCCAUGCAAUCCCUCGGCACUCGGCACAGCAAGCUCCCAAACCAAAGGCUGGUGGUUUUAGGCAGCCAUGAGCUUCAGCUUCAGUGUGGUGCUCUCAUUCUAGCAGCUUUUGUCUCUUUUAUUUCCAGAUAAGUCAGCACAGGAAUGUUCUGCUUCAUCGAGAUGGGAUGUAGUGCUCGUAUUAUUUGACAUCAUUUUGGCUGAAGAGACAAAAUGAAAAGAUGCCAUCAGUCUGAUCACUCUCCUGUUAGGUCAUCCCAGGUCUCUGUUAAACCUCUCACCUCUCCAUACAUGGACAAGACAUAUAUUAAUUUUUAUUUGGAAUUUUCUUAAUCCAACUACAUCAGCGCAUGUACCAAGACACGGGCUCAACCUCCUGCAUCAAAAGGUGGAUUUGGGCCUAGGUUAGACAACAAAAAUGAGGUGGAAACAUACUUUUAAUUCACAUCUGACUUGAUUCUGCCCUGAUGUGGAAUGCAGACAAGAUUUUGGAUUAUAUGCAAGUACAAAAACUCAUGGACCAAACAGGGAAUGUGAAAGGUUGCACUGAGCUUUUUUAUAAAGCCUGGGCUUUAUAAACUUGAUUUUUCUUCUUCUGACAGCCUUUAGUUAGAUUUGUAGGAAAGGGAUAUUGAAGGUUCAAGAAAUGUUGUUAGCAGAGAAGUCUCAGUUUCAUCUCCUCAUUGGCUUGAAUUAAAUUAUUCUGCUCCACCUGUCCAGAAGAGCAUCUCACAAUAUACUGUUUCUGUCUCGGGGCAGUAAUUGAUUUUUGUAUUUGUUAGGAUUUUUUUUUUUCCCCACGUGCCAUAGCUUAAGUUAAAUCUGAGUCCUCCACUGGAACUGAAGCACCUGAAGUUCAAAUGCAUUUGUUUGUAAUUAUGACCUUAUUGUCUGUUUUUAUAUUAUGUUUGGAUCUUAUCCAUUUUCUUC